This 773-nucleotide ribosomal RNA is filed under the name uncultured Streptococcus sp. RNAcentral describes it as "bacterial SSU rRNA". It matches the Rfam family "Bacterial small subunit ribosomal RNA", at positions 28 to 776 of the family's 1533-position model. The record is from RNAcentral. Lineage: Bacteria; Bacillati; Bacillota; Bacilli; Lactobacillales; Streptococcaceae.
GACGAACGCUGGCGGCGUGCCUAAUACGUGCAAGUAGAACGCACAGUAUAUACCGUAGCUUGCUACACCAUAGACUGUGAGUUGCGAACGGGUGAGUAACGCGUAGGUAACCUGCCUGGUAGCGGGGGAUAACUAUUGGAAACGAUAGCUAAUACCGCAUAAUAUUAAUUAUUGCAUGAUAAUUGAUUGAAAGAUGCAACUGCAUCACUACCAGAUGGACCUGCGUUGUAUUAGCUAGUAGGUGAGGUAACGGCUCACCUAGGCGACGAUACAUAGCCGACCUGAGAGGGUGAUCGGCCACACUGGGACUGAGACACGGCCCAGACUCCUACGGGAGGCAGCAGUAGGGAAUCUUCGGCAAUGGACGAAAGUCUGACCGAGCAACGCCGCGUGAGUGAAGAAGGUUUUCGGAUCGUAAAGCUCUGUUGUAAGAGAAGAACGGGUGUGAGAGUGGAAAGUUCACACUGUGACGGUAUCUUACCAGAAAGGGACGGCUAACUACGUGCCAGCAGCCGCGGUAAUACGUAGGUCCCGAGCGUUGUCCGGAUUUAUUGGGCGUAAAGCGAGCGCAGGCGGUUAGAUAAGUCUGAAGUUAAAGGCUGUGGCUUAACCAUAGUACGCUUUGGAAACUGUUUAACUUGAGUGCAGAAGGGGAGAGUGGAAUUCCAUGUGUAGCGGUGAAAUGCGUAGAUAUAUGGAGGAACACCGGUGGCGAAAGCGGCUCUCUGGUCUGUAACUGACGCUGAGGCUCGAAAGCGUGGGGAGCGAACAGG